GUGCCAGCAGCCGCGGUAAGACGAACCGUGCGAACGUUGUUCGGAUUCACUGGGCUUAAAGGGCGCGUAGGCGGGCGAUCAAGUCAGGGGUGAAAUCUUUCGGCUCAACCGGAAAAGUGCCCCUGAUACUGAUUGUCUUGAGGGAGGUAGGGGCAUGUGGAACUUCCGGUGGAGCGGUGAAAUGCGUAGAUAUCGGAAGGAACGCCGGUGGCGAAAGCGACGUGCUGGAUCUCUUCUGACGCUGAGGCGCGAAAGCCAGGGGAGCGAACGGGAUUAGAUACCCCGGUAGUCCUGGCCCUAAACGAUGGGUACUAGGUUGUGGGCUUAACAUGGGCUCACAGCCGAAGCAAAAGUGAUAAGUACCCCGCCUGGGGAGUAUGGUCGCAAGGCUGAA
RNAcentral lists this ribosomal RNA (394 nucleotides) under uncultured bacterium. Its description in RNAcentral is "bacterial SSU rRNA". It matches the Rfam family "Bacterial small subunit ribosomal RNA", at positions 505 to 898 of the family's 1533-position model. The record is from RNAcentral.